RNAcentral lists this ribosomal RNA (780 nucleotides) under uncultured bacterium. RNAcentral describes it as "bacterial SSU rRNA". It matches the Rfam family "Bacterial small subunit ribosomal RNA", at positions 63 to 842 of the family's 1533-position model. The record is from RNAcentral.
CGAGGGGUAAGGCCCGCCUUAGGCGGGCACACGACCGGCGCACGGGUGCGUAACGCGUUUGCAACCUACCUGUAACUGGAACAUAGCCCCGAGAAAUCGGGAUUAAUUUUCCAUACCAUCCUUUGGUGGCAUCACCUAAGGAUGAAAGCUGAGGCGGUUACAGAUGGGCAUGCGUGACAUUAGCUUGUUGGUGCGGUAACGGCGCACCAAGGCCGAGAUGUCUAGGGGGUCUGAGAGGAUGAUCCCCCACACUGGUACUGAGACACGGACCAGACUCCUACGGGAGGCAGCAGUGAGGAAUAUUGCGCAAUGGACGAAAGUCUGACGCAGCCAUGCCGCGUGCAGGAUGACAGCCCUAUGGGUUGUAAACUGCUUUUCUGCUUUAAGAACCAGCCUUACAUGUAAGGCCUUGACGGUACAGCAGGAAUAAGCAUCGGCUAACUCCGUGUCAGCAGCCGCGGUAAUACGGAGGAUGCAAGCGUUAUCCGGAUUCAUUGGGUUUAAAGCGUGCGCAGGCGGAUGGGUAAGUCAGAGGUGAAAGCCUGCAGCUUAACUGUGGAAUUGCCUUUGAUACUGUCCAUCUUGAGUCCAGCUGAAGUAGGCGGAAUGUAGUAUGUAGCGGUGAAAUGCUUAGAUAUACUACAGAACACCCAUUGCGAAGGCAGCUUACUAAACUGGUACUGACGCUCAGGCACGAAAGCGUGGGGAGCAAACAGGAUUAGAUACCCUGGUAGUCCACGCCGUAAACGUUGAUCACUCGUUGUUGGCAAUACACCGUCA